AGCGGCGGACGGGUGAGUAACGCGUGGGUAACCUGCCCUAUACACACGGAUAACAUACCGAAAGGUAUGCUAAUACGAGAUAAUAUAAGAGAUUCACAUGGAUUUCUUAUCAAAGCUGAGGCGGUAUAGGAUGGACCCGCGUCUGAUUAGCUAGUUGGUAAGGUAACGGCUUACCAAGGCGACGAUCAGUAGCCGACCUGAGAGGGUGAUCGGCCACAUUGGAACUGAGACACGGUCCAAACUCCUACGGGAGGCAGCAGUGGGGAAUAUUGCACAAUGGGCGAAAGCCUGAUGCAGCAACGCCGCGUGAGUGAUGAAGGCCUUCGGGUCGUAAAACUCUGUCCUCAAGGAAGAUAAUGACGGUACUUGAGGAGGAAGCCCCGGCUAACUACGUGCCAGCAGCCGCGGUAAUACGUAGGGGGCUAGCGUUAUCCGGAUUUACUGGGCGUAAAGGGUGCGUAGGUGGUCUCUUAAGUCAGGAGUGAAAGGCUGCGGCUUAACCGUAGUAAGCUCUUGAAACUGGGAGACUUGAGUGCAGGAGAGGAAAGUGGAAUUCCUAGUGUAGCGGUGAAAUGCGUAGAUAUUAGGAGGAACACCAGUAGCGAAGGCGGCUUUCUGGACUGUAACUGACACUGAGGCACGAAAGCGUGGGGAGCAAACAGGAUUAGAUACCCUGGUAGUCCACGCCGUAAACGAUGAGUACUAGGUGU
This 710-nucleotide ribosomal RNA is filed under the name uncultured bacterium. RNAcentral's name for it is "bacterial SSU rRNA". It matches the Rfam family "Bacterial small subunit ribosomal RNA", at positions 94 to 823 of the family's 1533-position model. The record is from RNAcentral.